This 483-nucleotide long non-coding RNA is filed under the name Hordeum vulgare. RNAcentral describes it as "long non-coding RNA (HVUL_LNC016825)". Lineage: Eukaryota; Viridiplantae; Streptophyta; Magnoliopsida; Poales; Poaceae. The record is from RNAcentral.
GCGAAUGCUUUAUCACUGAUAUACAUCGAUAUGUUCUGCAGAUAACAGACCGAACAUACGAUGUGUCUAGAACCAUACACACCACAGAUUAUCCUGAACAAUACUCAUUCAAGACUACAAUUAACUAGAGCGUAGAAGCGUCGACGAACUAUACACCUGACGGUCAAUUUACAUUACAAUAGACAAACCAACGACACUUCAAUCUACCUGAAAAGAAGAGGAAAAUAAAGAAGUGGGUCCCGACUAUUCUGUGGUGCUGGAUGAGGAGAAGCAGCCGCAGAUGAGCUCCAGUAUACUCUUCUUCACGCCAUUGUGAUCGCCCAUCCUUCUGAAGUUUUGAUCGACGAUCCUCGGAGUGUCGGAGCUCACCUUCAGUCACGGGUGAAACGAUCAAGAUGGAAUGUCAAAAAUGUUUGGAGCUGGAAGUGCUAACACUGAGCAAGCAGGGGAGUUGGAUGCUCGGUGCCUGAGCAAGCCUCUCUG